Molecule: ribosomal RNA, 497 nt
Filed under: uncultured bacterium
Lineage: Bacteria
Description: partial 16S ribosomal RNA
Rfam family: Bacterial small subunit ribosomal RNA
Source: RNAcentral
GAUGAGCGCUGGCGGCGUGCUUAACACAUGCAAGUCGAACGAAGCAUUUAGAACAGAUUAUUUCGGUAUGAAGUUCUUUAUGACUGAGUGGCGGACGGGUGAGUAACGCGUGGGUAACCUGCCUUGUACUGGGGGAUAGCAGCUGGAAACGGCUGGUAAUACCGCAUAAGCGCACGGUGCUGCAUGGCACAGUGUGAAAAACUCCGGUGGUAUAAGAUGGACCCGCGUCUGAUUAGCUAGUUGGUGAGAUAACAGCCCACCAAGGCGCAGAUCAGUAGCCGACCUGAGAGGGUGACCGGCAACAUUGGGACUGAGACACGGCCCAGACUCCUACGGGAGGCAGCAGUGGGGAAUAUUGCAAAAUGGAGGAAACUCUGAUGCAGCAACGCCGCGUGAGUGAAGAAGUAAUUCGUUAUGUAAAGCUCUAUCAGCAGGGAAGAUAGUGACGGUACCUGACUAAGAAGCUCCGGCUAAAUACGUGCCAGCCGCCGCCGUAA